RNAcentral lists this long non-coding RNA (698 nucleotides) under Olea europaea (common olive). Its description in RNAcentral is "long non-coding RNA (OEUR_LNC011053)". The record is from RNAcentral. Lineage: Eukaryota; Viridiplantae; Streptophyta; Magnoliopsida; Lamiales; Oleaceae.
CCCAAUUGACAUCCCUACAUAAUUUAGUACAUAAACGUAUACGAUUAUAGCCCACUUCAAUCGUUGUCGACAUUUGAAUAUUCCUCCCACUGUCCUCAUUAGAAUCAUCCGAACUUAUGACAAUUAUUGGGAGAUGGAAAGUUUGCCAACGACUCAUCAUUGUUGGAUUCAUCUUCAAAUGAAACUAUGAACUCAAACACAUCAUCAAGUACGCCGGGAGGUGACUACAAGGCCUCACUUGAAAUUUCAUUCAGAUUGGGAAAAUGAACAACAGAAAUGGCUUUCCUACCAUUUGGAAGGUUGACUUCCUCAUCAUUCGAAGAAAUUAUGAAGGAAAAAAUGGGGACAAAUCGGGUAUUGAGAGAGGCUCAUUCAGGUUCAACGGUUUGUGGAUUCUCAUGGACAACUAUUAUCUCAAUAUGGUUGUAUUAAGUGAACUGUUUGAAAUGUUUGAUGUAUAAAGUGUCACAAAGUGGGAGAAGUGCUUAAAUGUAACUGAGAAGAAAGUCACGCCCUACUAUUUAUAAUCAAAUUCUUGGAGGGAAUUAAUUAUGGUCAUUUACAACACAACCACCAAAUUACAGGUUCAAGUGUUGCUUGAGUGAAAAUUGAUGUGAUGAUUUAUGGUCUAGGUAUACCUUUAUCCUCCAAACUUUGUACAUAAUUUAUGGAAAAUGUGAAUAUUAAAUCAUGUAUAC